RNAcentral lists this transfer RNA (57 nucleotides) under Sinobambusa intermedia. RNAcentral describes it as "tRNA-fMet". Lineage: Eukaryota; Viridiplantae; Streptophyta; Magnoliopsida; Poales; Poaceae. The record is from RNAcentral.
UAUCGGAACAAGAGAAAAAAAAAACGAAAAGAAAGAAGAAAAUAUGAAAGAAAAGCG